GCUGGGCAUGGUGGUGCAUGCCUGUGGUCCCAGUUACUCAGGAGGCUGAGGCCGGAGGAUCGCUUGAGUCCAGGAGGUCAAGGCUGUAGUGAGCUAUGAUGGCACCACUGCACUCCAGCCUGGGUGACAGAGCGAGACCCUGUCUCAA
Unclassified non-coding RNA from Callithrix jacchus (white-tufted-ear marmoset), 148 nucleotides. It matches the Rfam family "Metazoan signal recognition particle RNA". Rfam says of the family: The signal recognition particle (SRP) is a universally conserved ribonucleoprotein. It is involved in the co-translational targeting of proteins to membranes. Lineage: Eukaryota; Metazoa; Chordata; Mammalia; Primates; Cebidae. The record is from Ensembl.